CUGCAGGCUGGACACAGCACUGUCCCUGGAGCUGUGUGGAGUGAAUGACUUCAUGUCUCACACAUCCCUGCUUAAAUGUCUCCUUAUGAUGCUCACUGAGCUGCAGAAAUUCUGUUCUAUCUAAUCCCUCGUCCACAGUCUAACCAACAUAUUAAAAACCAAAAUCAUUCCCUAUCAUGGUUGCUCAACCUUUUUCAUUGAAAAGGUAUCAGAUAUUUUUCCCCUUCUUUCUGGUCUUGGAGAGAAAAACAAUUUGAACCAUCCCAGCUCUCUGUUGUUGUUGUAAGUGCAGGUCUCACGUUUGUUGUGUUGCUAGGGAGUGUGUGCAGCUUUUGUUGCUUUUGAAUUAUAGCUGCUAGCACUUAUCUUCUCCUCCAGCAAAACGUUUUUAUAGCAAGUUCUUUGAAAGCAGUGCAGUCAUUUGUACUUAAGACAGAAUUAUGGCAGCAGCAAACAGUUACAGGGAAGAAUAAAGCCUGAUGUUGCUUCUACACACAGAAAUGAACAGCAGACCCCUCCAGACCUCUGCAAAACUGCUAUAUGCCCCAUUGUACCCAUAAAUUCCUCCAGUGCUUCUGCUGACCUGGAUGCUCUGGUUUCAAUCAAACCCUGGCUCCAUGUCCAGGAAUUGGGGCCAUCCCCCUCCCCCAGCUUCCCAGCCCCAGCUCAAACAGGGAGGAUUUCCUGCCACCAUAAAGCUGUAAUUGCUGAAUUAAUAACAGCAGGUUUUGAAGAGCGACUGCACAGACUCUCUGACCCAGACAUUUUCCUGAAAGCAAAUGACUUGUCUGGAGUGAAGCCUUCCACUCCAGUGCCACAGAACAGAAGUGAGUGUGAGAUCUGAAGUGCAGAUUUGUUGCUCCUCUCCAACACAGACAGUGAGAAGUGGCCACAUCACCUGGAGGUGACAUCAUCAAGCUCUACAACAGAGAUGGGAAGAGCAUCACCUGAGCUCAGAUCCUCCUGUUCUUCACAAAGAAGAAUGCACCCAUUCUGCAUUUCUCCAGGUUCAGAAAGGUGGCAACUUUUAUGGCUCUUCAUGUCCUGUAAAGUAAUUAAA
This is a long non-coding RNA of Prinia subflava (tawny-flanked prinia), 1060 nucleotides long. RefSeq lists it as uncharacterized. Lineage: Eukaryota; Metazoa; Chordata; Aves; Passeriformes; Cisticolidae. The record is from RefSeq and is a predicted model, not a curated record. The transcript is spliced from 5 exons.